This is a small nuclear RNA of Nycticebus coucang (slow loris), 164 nucleotides long. RefSeq annotates it as U1 spliceosomal RNA. The record is from RefSeq and is a predicted model, not a curated record. NCBI's taxonomy places the organism in Eukaryota, Metazoa, Chordata, Mammalia, Primates, Lorisidae. The transcript has a single exon.
AUACUUACCUGGCAGGGGAGAUACCAUGAUCACGAAGGUGGUUUUCCCAAGGUGAGGCUUAUGUAUUAUACUCUGGACGUGCUGACCCCUGUGAUUUCCCCCAAUAGGGGAAACUCAACUGCAUAAUUUGUGGUAGUGGGGGACUGCGUUCACGCUUUCCCCAA